AAACUGUCGGCGGCCAUGACACUUUACCCGCAUCGGAUCAUUGAAGAGAGAGUGACAGCUUGUUCUCGGGAGACAGAUCAGUGUCUGUAGAGAGAAAACAUUUUGACCAGGUGGAGUCAGGCUUCUUCUUCGUCUUUGGACCACUAGGCAGAAGACGCCAAUUUUGGAUCAAUUAUGCUGAUGCCCCACUGUAAGAACCUGGAGAUCUUCUCUGUUUCUGGUGGAGGUGACGUGGCCACAAACAAUCCGUGGGACACCUUCCAACGCUACCUCUGUCUGGACAACAGCCAGAGGGUGAUCAAGACAUCUUCAACCUCAUUGGAGGAGACGACCCAAGGUUCCUUACCUCAGACUUCCUCCAAUGGGUUUUGAGAAGGAUCUCCUCCAUCACUGCAACGGAUUGUCUGGUCUGCUGUCCGGUCUGCCACCUGCCCUCCUUCGAGGCCCUGCACGACUCCAGGGCAAGGAAGCGUGCAGGAAAGAUCAUUGCCAACCCCUUCCGUCCCCUCUGGCAAACGGUUCAGGUCAAUCACGACCAAAACCUCACGCCGCCUGAACAGUUUCUUCCCCUUGUGCCAUGGCCCUCAUCCAACCGGCAACCUGGUCUACGAUGAUCCUGUCAUCCAUGGACUUUGUACUCUGCGCUAUUCAUCCAUCCCAGAACUGCACAUUGCUCUUUGCAUUCUCUUACAUGCAUAAUGUAUAAUGUAGCUUAUAGCGCUCACAGUGUACAUACUGUAUGUGAAUCUGUGGAGAUUCUGCAGGUAUAUAUUUUUUGGUCUGUAAAUUUAGUUUAUCAUCUGUCUGUAUAUUGUUUAUUGUUGCAGCACCAUUUCAGUCAUUCCUGUACAUGCAAAUGUAUUUGGCGAAUAAAGCUGAUAUGUUAACCUGA
Long non-coding RNA from Oncorhynchus gorbuscha (pink salmon), 892 nucleotides. RefSeq lists it as uncharacterized. NCBI's taxonomy places the organism in Eukaryota, Metazoa, Chordata, Actinopteri, Salmoniformes, Salmonidae. The transcript is spliced from 4 exons. The record is from RefSeq and is a predicted model, not a curated record.